GACGGUUAAAGCCCCUCCUYUACUA
RNAcentral lists this transfer RNA (25 nucleotides) under Neoheterandria elegans. RNAcentral describes it as "partial tRNA-Met". Lineage: Eukaryota; Metazoa; Chordata; Actinopteri; Cyprinodontiformes; Poeciliidae. The record is from RNAcentral.